CCGGCCACUUUCAUUGCAUGCAAGUGGCUUUCCGUUCCCAGUGUUCUCUCACAGCGCCAACUCCUUCGUCCUUGCAACGUCCCAUUUUCUAAUUCCCAAACAAUCAGCCUUCUCUCGCGGCAACCCUAGUGGUCACACGGCCGGCUCUCUACUUGAAAUCUCCAUGUAUCGGUACCCUCCAUUUCCAGCUUCCCUUACAAAUUGAAGGUCCAUCCCUCGAUUUCGAAAAAUUUCUCAGAUUUUGGGCAGAAUAGUAUGGCAACCCGAGGCUCCAGGUGUAUCAAUUGUGAUCAAUCCUUAUCUUAUAUUAUGAUGUGCAUAGCAUGAUCAAGCUGGUAGUACUGUGAUGGAUAAGAGUUGGAUGAAUUUGCCUGAUAGACUUCGAGCACCUGCAUAUGCCGAAGGGGUUAACCACUUCCUCACACUAGCACGAAGCCAUGCUAUGGGAAGUGACCGAAUCUGGUCUCCUUGUAGGCUAUGCUGUAAUAAUUUAUUCUUGCCUUUUAGAGAGGUGGAGACUCACCUCUUCAUUAAAGGGUUCAAUCCUACUUACACCCAAUGGAUAUUUCAUGGGUAGGAGGAAACUCGCCUUUUGAUUGGCGUCGAUUCCGAUCUCGAUCUCAGUGAUGAGGAUGAAUACAUAGAUGACAUGGACCAUAUGUUAGAUGACAUAUGGGCAGGGACAUUCCAUAAUGUCCCUGAAGGUAGCCAAGGCGACGCUAUUCCGAUGCCUUCACGCCCCUCCGUACCAGAAACUUCAUGUAAACCUUCUUUUGAUCAGCUACUAGAGGAUGCCUGACGUCCACUUUUUACGGGGU
Carya illinoinensis is the source of this 818-nucleotide long non-coding RNA. RefSeq lists it as uncharacterized. The transcript is spliced from 3 exons. The record is from RefSeq and is a predicted model, not a curated record. NCBI's taxonomy places the organism in Eukaryota, Viridiplantae, Streptophyta, Magnoliopsida, Fagales, Juglandaceae.